This 1230-nucleotide long non-coding RNA is filed under the name Oncorhynchus kisutch (coho salmon). Its description in RNAcentral is "lncRNA (ENSOKIG00005032144.1)". The record is from RNAcentral. Lineage: Eukaryota; Metazoa; Chordata; Actinopteri; Salmoniformes; Salmonidae.
GAUCAUAUGGGUUGAAGUGUUUAUUGUGGACUAGAUCAUAAGGGUUGAAGUGUUUAUUGUGGACUAGAUCAUAUGGGUUGAAGUGUGUUUAUUGUGGACUAGAUCAUAUGGGUUGAAGUGUUUAUUGUGGACUAGAUCAUAUGGGUUGAAGUGUUUAUUGUGGACUAGAUCAUAUGGGUUGAAGUGUUUAUUGUGGACUAGAUCAUAUGGGUUGAAGUGUUUAUUGUGGACUAGAUCAUAUGGGUUGAAGUGUUUAUUGUGGACUAGAUCAUAUGGGUUGAAGUGUUUAUUGUGGACUAGAUCAUAUGGGUUGAAGUGUUUAUUGUGGACUAGAUCAUAUGGGUUGAAGUGUUUAUUGUGGACUAGAUCAUAUGGGUUGAAGUGUUUAUUGUGGACUAGAUCAUAUGGGUUGAAGUGUUUAUUGUGGACUAGAUCAUAAAGGUUGAAGUGUUUAUUGUGGACUAGAUCAUAUGGGUUGAAGUGUUUAUUGUGGACUAGAUCAUAAAGGUUGAAGUGUUUAUUGUGGACUAGAUCAUAUGGGUUGAAGUGUUUAUUGUGGACUAGAUCAUAUGGGUUGAAGUGUUUAUUGUGGACUAGAUCAUAUGGGUUGAAGUGUUUAUUGUGGACUAAACAUUAAUUCAUGCUCAACUAACAGCCCCCCCCCCCAACAGGAUUAAACAUGAAUUCAUGCUCAACUAACAGCCCCACCCCCCCAACAGGAUUAAACAUUAAUUCAUGCUCAACUAACAGCCCCCCCCCCCCACCCAACAGGAUUAAACAUUAUUUCAUGCUCAACUAACAGCCCCCCCCCACCCAACAGGAUUAAACAUUAAUUAAUGGUCAACUAACAGCCCCCCCCCCACCCAACAGGGUUGAACAUUAAUUAGUGGUCAACUAACAGCCCCCCCCCCUACCCACCCAACAGGAUUAAACAUAAAUUAAUGCUCAACUAACAGCCCCCCCCCCACCAACAGGAUUAAACAUUAAUUAAUGCUCAACUAACAGCCCCCCCCCCAACAGGAUUAAACAUUAAUUCAUGCUCAACUAACAGCCCCCCCCCCAACAGGAUUAAACAUUAAUUCAUGCUCAACUAACAGCCCCCCCCCCCCCCCAACAGGAUUAAACAUUAAUUCAUGCGCAACUAACAGCCCCCCCCCCCCCCACCCAACAGGAUUAAACAUUAAUUAAUGCUCAACUAACAGCCCCCCCCCCACCCAACAGGAUUAAACA